RNAcentral lists this ribosomal RNA (323 nucleotides) under uncultured eukaryote. RNAcentral's name for it is "partial 18S ribosomal RNA". It matches the Rfam family "Eukaryotic small subunit ribosomal RNA", at positions 1470 to 1796 of the family's 1831-position model. The record is from RNAcentral.
CCCUUAGAUGUUCUGGGCCGCACGCGUGCUACACUGAACGGUUCAAUGGGUAAGGUAGUGCGAAAGCAUGACCUAAUCUCGAAAUCCGUUCGUGCUGGGGAUAGAAGCUUGCAAUUAUCCUUCUUGAACGAGGAAUACCUUGUAAGCGUGAGUCAUCAUCUCACGCUGAAUACGUCCCUGCCCUUUGUACACACCGCCCGUCGCUCCUACCGAUUGAGUGUUCCGGUGAGGCUUUGGGAGAAUGGCCCCAACAUGAGUUUAUCGUGUUUUGCCGUUUGAACUUAGUCAAACCUUAUCACUUAGAGGAAGGAGAAGUCGUAACA